This is a non-coding RNA of Myotis lucifugus (little brown bat), 72 nucleotides long. The record is from Rfam. Lineage: Eukaryota; Metazoa; Chordata; Mammalia; Chiroptera; Vespertilionidae.
GCCGGUGUGGCUCAGUGGAUAGAGCGUCAGACUGCAGAUUGAAGGGCACCCGGUUCCAUUCGGUCAAGGGCA